GAAAUGCGAUAAUUAAUGUGAAUUGCAGAAUUCAGUGAAUCAUCGAGUCUUUGAACGCACAUUGCGCCCCCUGGUAUUCCGGGGGGCAUGCCUGUCCGAGCGUCAUUGCUGCCCUCAAGCACGGCUUGUGUGUUGGGCUUCCGUCCCUGGCAACGGGGACGGGCCCAAAAGGCAGUGGCGGCACCAUGUCUGGUCCUCGAGCGUAUGGGGCUUUGUCACCCGCUCCCGUAGGUCCAGCUGGCAGCUAGCCUCGCAACCAAUCUUUUUAACCAGGUUGACCUCGGAUCAGGUAGGGAUACCCGCUGAACUUUAGC
RNAcentral lists this unclassified non-coding RNA (314 nucleotides) under plant metagenome. Its description in RNAcentral is "partial contains 5.8S ribosomal RNA, internal transcribed spacer 2, and large subunit ribosomal RNA". The stretch from base 1 to 105 matches the Rfam family "5.8S ribosomal RNA", at positions 50 to 154 of the family's 154-position model. The record is from RNAcentral.